AGAGCGAACGCUGGCGGCAGGCCUAAUACAUGCAAGUCGAACGGAUCCUUCGGGAUUAGUGGCGGACGGGUGAGUAACACGUGGGAACGUGCCCUUUGGUUCGGAACAACUCAGGGAAACUUGAGCUAAUACCGGAUGUGCCCUUCGGGGGAAAGAUUUAUCGCCAUUGGAGCGGCCCGCGUCUGAUUAGCUAGUUGGUGGGGUAAAGGCCUACCAAGGCUACGAUCAGUAGCUGGUCUGAGAGGAUGAUCAGCCACACUGGGACUGAGACACGGCCCAGACUCCUACGGGAGGCAGCAGUAGGGAAUCUUGCGCAAUGGGCGAAAGCCUGACGCAGCCAUGCCGCGUGAAUGAUGAAGGUCUUAGGAUUGUAAAAUUCUUUCAGUGGGGACGAUAAUGACGGUACCCACAGAAGAAGCCCCGGCUAACUUCGCGCCAGCAGCCGC
This 446-nucleotide ribosomal RNA is filed under the name uncultured bacterium. RNAcentral's name for it is "SSU rRNA". It matches the Rfam family "Bacterial small subunit ribosomal RNA", at positions 26 to 518 of the family's 1533-position model. The record is from RNAcentral.